CCAGCAGCCGCGGUAAUUCCAGCUCCAAUAGCGUAUAUUAAAGUUGUUGCAGUUAAAAAGCUCGUAGUUGAAUUUCUGGGGAGUUCGGUGGGUGCGCUUCACUGCGCAACCCGCAGGUUCUCUCCAUCCUCGCAGGGAUGGCGUCGGCAUUCAUUUGUCGCGUUCUGACCUGCGUCCUUUACUGUGAGAAAAUUAGAGUGUUCAAAGCAGGCGUUUCGCUUGAAUACAUUAGCAUGGAAUAAUGAGAUAGGACUUCGGUCCUCCGCUGGUUGCGGAUCGAGGUAAUGAUUAAUAGGGACGGUUGGGGGCCUUCGUAUUCAACUGUCAGAGGUGAAAUUCUUGGA
This 344-nucleotide ribosomal RNA is filed under the name uncultured eukaryote. RNAcentral describes it as "SSU rRNA". It matches the Rfam family "Eukaryotic small subunit ribosomal RNA", at positions 567 to 924 of the family's 1831-position model. The record is from RNAcentral.